RNAcentral lists this unclassified non-coding RNA (392 nucleotides) under soil metagenome. RNAcentral describes it as "partial contains 5.8S ribosomal RNA, internal transcribed spacer 2, and large subunit ribosomal RNA". The stretch from base 1 to 122 matches the Rfam family "5.8S ribosomal RNA", at positions 35 to 154 of the family's 154-position model. The record is from RNAcentral.
GAUGAAGAACGUAGCGAAAUGCGAUACUUGGUGUGAAUUGCAGAAUCCCGUGAACCAACGAGUCUUUGAACGCAAGUUGCGCCCGAAGCCAUUAGGCCGAGGGCACGCCUGCCUGGGCGUCACACGUCGUUGCCCCCCCCAUCUACUCCUUCGGGAUUGCGGGGGGCGGAUGAUGGCCUCCCGUGCGCCUCGCCGCGCGGUUGGCAUAAAUGCCAAGUCCUCGGCGACGCACGCCACGACAAUCGGUGGUUGCGAAACCUCGGUUGCCCGUCGUGUGCGGUCGUCGCGCAUCGAGGGCUCGAAAAAAUUGCCGAGUUCCGGCUCGGCUUUCAACGCGACCCCAGGUCAGGCGGGGUUACCCGCUGAAUUUAAGCAUAUCAAUAAGCGGAGGA